AGAUUGAACGCUGGCGGCAGGCCUAACACAUGCAAGUCGAGCGGCAGCACGGGUACUUGUACCUGGUGGCGAGCGGCGGACGGGUGAGUAAUGCCUAGGAAUCUGCCUGGUAGUGGGGGAUAACGCUCGGAAACGGACGCUAAUACCGCAUACGUCCUACGGGAGAAAGCAGGGGACCUUCGGGCCUUGCGCUAUCAGAUGAGCCUAGGUCGGAUUAGCUAGUUGGUGAGGUAAUGGCUCACCAAGGCGACGAUCCGUAACUGGUCUGAGAGGAUGAUCAGUCACACUGGAACUGAGACACGGUCCAGACUCCUACGGGAGGCAGCAGUGGGGAAUAUUGGACAAUGGGCGAAAGCCUGAUCCAGCCAUGCCGCGUGUGUGAAAGAAGGUCUUCGGAUUGUAAAAGCAACUUUAAGUUGGAGGAAGGCAGUUACCUAAUACGUAUCUGUUUGACGUUACCGACAGAAAUAAGCACCGGCUAACUCUGUG
Molecule: ribosomal RNA, 489 nt
Filed under: uncultured soil bacterium
Lineage: Bacteria
Description: bacterial SSU rRNA
Rfam family: Bacterial small subunit ribosomal RNA
Source: RNAcentral